GAGGAAUAUUGGUCAAUGGGCGCAAGCCUGAACCAGCCAUGCCGCGUGCAGGAAGACGGUCCUAUGGAUUGUAAACUGCUUUUAUCUAGGGAUAAACCUCUUUACGUGUAGAGAGCUGAAGGUACUAGAAGAAUAAGCACCGGCUAACUCCGUGCCAGCAGCCGCGGUAAUACGGAGGGUGCAAGCGUUAUCCGGAAUCAUUGGGUUUAAAGGGUCCGCAGGCGGGAUUGUAAGUCAGUGGUGAAAAGCGGUAGCUCAACUGUCGUCGUGCCAUUGAUACUGCAGUCCUUGAAUUCGAUUGGAGUGGGCGGAAUAUGUCAUGUAGCGGUGAAAUGCUUAGAUAUGACAUAGAACACCGAUAGCGAAGGCAGCUCACUAAGUCUGAAUUGACGCUCAUGGACGAAAGCGCGGGUAGCAAAC
This 420-nucleotide ribosomal RNA is filed under the name uncultured bacterium. RNAcentral's name for it is "bacterial SSU rRNA". It matches the Rfam family "Bacterial small subunit ribosomal RNA", at positions 356 to 773 of the family's 1533-position model. The record is from RNAcentral.